This 52-nucleotide non-coding RNA is filed under the name unclassified sequences. The record is from Rfam.
AGAUAUGUUCGUAGAGCCACGAACAGGAUAAUCAAAAGAAAGCUCAUUGAGA